Molecule: ribosomal RNA, 501 nt
Filed under: uncultured bacterium
Lineage: Bacteria
Description: partial 16S ribosomal RNA
Rfam family: Bacterial small subunit ribosomal RNA
Source: RNAcentral
AUUGAACGCUGGCGGCAGGCUUAACACAUGCAAGUCGAGUGGGGGAAGGUAGCUUGCUACCGGACCUAGCGGCGGACGGGUGAGUAAUGCUUAGGAAUCUGCCUAUUAGUGGGGGACAACAUCUCGAAAGGGAUGCUAAUACCGCAUACGUCCUACGGGAGAAAGCAGGGGAUCUUCGGACCUUGCGCUAAUAGAUGAGCCUAAGUCGGAUUAGCUAGUUGGUGGGGUAAAGGCCUACCAAGGCGACGAUCUGUAGCGGGUCUGAGAGGAUGAUCCGCCACCCUGGGACUGAGACACGGCCCAGACUCCUACGGGAGGCAGCAGUGGGGAAUAUUGGACAAUGGGGGGAACCCUGAUCCAGCCAUGCCGCGUGUGUGAAGAAGGCCUUAUGGUUGUAAAGCACUUUAAGCGAGGAGGAGGCUACUCUAGUUAAUACCUAGGGAUAGUGGACGUUACUCGCAGAAUAAGCACCGGCUAACUCUGUGCCAGCAGCCGCGGUAA